GAGAAUUUCUUUUAAUUUUCAAUGCAAAUUUCUUAUUAUUUAUGCUAUAUAACCUUUUAUAUUCUUCAGUUAGCUUUUCUAUUAGUUGAAUUAUGAUUAGGGGGAUAUUUAAUGAUGUUUUUUGUUAGACAAAAAUAAAAAAUAAUUUUUUUUUAAUUUUAGUGAAUAAAUCUAAAUGUCACAGUAAGAAAAAAUGUAAAUAAUGUCAUUUAGUUGAUUACAUAUAUAUAAGUACAUCUAUAUUUGUAAAUACAUUUGUUUCACAGGAAAAAUAAACUAUAAUUUUCUCUUUUAUAUAGAUUACAAUUUAUUUUAUAAGUUGAAUUAUUUUUCAGUUUAGAUUUAACGUUCAAACAACGUUCUAGAGAGAGUUU
RNAcentral lists this long non-coding RNA (374 nucleotides) under Brassica napus (rape). Its description in RNAcentral is "long non-coding RNA (BNAP_LNC015455)". The record is from RNAcentral. Lineage: Eukaryota; Viridiplantae; Streptophyta; Magnoliopsida; Brassicales; Brassicaceae.